This is a long non-coding RNA of Venturia canescens, 1479 nucleotides long. RefSeq lists it as uncharacterized. NCBI's taxonomy places the organism in Eukaryota, Metazoa, Arthropoda, Insecta, Hymenoptera, Ichneumonidae. The transcript has 3 exons. The record is from RefSeq and is a predicted model, not a curated record.
GGCCGAGUCAUCGACGACGAGUCACACUCUCCUCGUGUGGUAAGCGUCGCUUCUCUCUCCCAACGCUGCUGCCAUGGAAAAUACAUUCGUAUUAGUCGUGUCAUUUAAUUGCUAGUAUUGUGACGUAGUAUUACGUGUAAAAAAAAAUAUAUGUUUCUGUUCCGUCGAUAUAUAUAUAUACACAUUAUUCGUCGUAUGGGGAAUACCCCGGAUGACGGAUGGCGAAGAGCAUAAAAUGUAUAAAUGUUUGAUUGAGGCGUAAGAUACUUCACUGCUAAUAUACUAUAUUUCCGUGGCGAGACGCAUCAUCGAAAUAAGAAUGAAAAAACUAAUAUUAUGACGUCUCUAACAAAAUGAUGUACGAGCUGGAUGAUUUUUUCUUUCUUUUCGACUCGAAAGAGAGUGAUUUCGAAUGCCGAGGAGCAGCCACAGCGAGGGGUGAAAAAAUACUUGGAGCAUAGAGGAUUGUGUGUACCACCUGGUCUCACCUUUGUACAAUGGACAAGUGCAACGACGCGUGUGUCAGACCUCUCUCAUGCUUCGUCUUUUUAUUCCUCUUUCCGUACAUUUCUCGUUCUCUCUCUUUCUCCCUUUUUCACAUCGGAGGGGCGAGGGAGAAGGAGGAGGAGGAGGAGUAACCAGUUUAAAAAAGAUCGUAAGGUGGACUCUUGGACGACAAUGCUCGCACACAGGCCAAAGCCCCCAACGAGGGUAUAUAUCCGUCGCCAAGGAAGAAACGAGAUCGGUAAGAAUGGGACUCGGAUUUGAGAGCCAAAGAGAGACGGAGAGAAACAAAGAAUUUCCGUAGGUGUAUGUGAAUUCGCGUGUGUAUCCUAGUCGGUCAUACGGCAAACCUUAUUUUUUCUUUCAAACUAAAUCAAGCAAUGACCUUGCACUUCAACCCAAGCUCUUUUAUCCGAUUGUUUCUCUUUUUCAUCUGUUCCGCUCGGUUGUUACUCGCGCUCUCUUUCAACUUGUUUGAACGCGCGCUCGCAAUGUACCUUAAAUAUUCCAAUGAAACAAAUAUGAAAUGACAAUGAGUCGAGGAAAUUUGUAAAUUUGCGAUUCUAUUGCGAUUGGAGGAUGGACGAGCAGUCGAUAGACAAACAAUAAAUCGAGGUAAAACCGUCGAAAUUUUCUUUAAUUUUAUUUAUCAAGAUCAACGAUCAAAGCCAAACUUCUUGCUUCGUCAAAAUUGAUAAAACGAAUUUUAUCUGUAAUGAAAAAUCAUAAAAAUUAGUUACAUGCGCGCAAUCUCAAAAUCCAAUAUUCAUCGUAUCAUCCAAUUCGCGUAUCUCCGCCGUUCGAGUAUCAUAUCAUAAAUGAUACUCCGAAUCAGGAGGGAAAUAUAUAUUUUUUUGUCAACGCUCGUGCGUCUUCUACUUCGAGUGUGACGAAAUAAAAUAUCGAUUUUUUUGCUAUCACCUUAAUUUACAUAUGUUAAUUUGUUUACUCACCACCUGGCAAUGCGCGUGACUA